RNAcentral lists this long non-coding RNA (324 nucleotides) under Bos taurus (domestic cattle). RNAcentral describes it as "long non-coding RNA NONBTAT013862". The record is from RNAcentral. Lineage: Eukaryota; Metazoa; Chordata; Mammalia; Artiodactyla; Bovidae.
UGCCUAGAAGAAUGUUAGACCUGUAAGUCCUGUAGUUCUGUGGCGUCACCAAGCAGCCCUCCCCCCUGCCAUUUACUUUCUCAAGAAUUUAGUACUUUUGACAUGGAGGCUUUAUCUCCUGCCCCCAUUGGCCUCAUUAGCAAGAGACUCCGGUAGGUUGGUUGGUUGGUGUUAGUUACCAUGUGUGGCCUUCCCGCCUUAGCACACACCUUGUAUUCAUCAGUAAAUUAUUUAUUGCUAAAAAUGUUCUCACGUUGCCCAGUAGAAAUUGAUGGUUGAGCCCUGUCUUGUGUGAUGGUUUUGACGGGAAUCAGUGCUUCUGGA